This 292-nucleotide ribosomal RNA is filed under the name uncultured bacterium. RNAcentral's name for it is "partial 16S ribosomal RNA". It matches the Rfam family "Bacterial small subunit ribosomal RNA", at positions 505 to 796 of the family's 1533-position model. The record is from RNAcentral.
GUGCCAGCAGCCGCGGUAAUACGAAGGGGGCUAGCGUUGCUCGGAAUUACUGGGCGUAAAGGGCGCGUAGGCGGAUGUUUAAGUCAGCGGUGAAAGCCCAGGGCUCAACCUUGGAACUGCCAUUGAUACUGGACAUCUUGAGUACGGGAGAGGUGAGUGGAACACCGAGUGUAGAGGUGAAAUUCGUAGAUAUUCGGUAGAACACCAGUGGCGAAGGCGACUCACUGGCCCGUUACUGACGCUGAGGCGCGAAAGCGUGGGGAGCAAACAGGAUUAGAAACCCUGGUAGUCC